RNAcentral lists this ribosomal RNA (404 nucleotides) under uncultured bacterium. RNAcentral describes it as "bacterial SSU rRNA". It matches the Rfam family "Bacterial small subunit ribosomal RNA", at positions 28 to 431 of the family's 1533-position model. The record is from RNAcentral.
GAUGAACGCUAGCGGCAGGCUUAACACAUGCAAGUCGAGGGGUAUAGUAGCAAUACUAGAGACCGGCGCACGGGUGCGUAACGCGUAUGCAAUCUACCUUUUACAGAGGGAUAGCCCAGAGAAAUUUGGAUUAAUACCUCAUAGUAUAGUGACAUCGCAUGAUGAUGCUAUUAAAGUUACAACGGUAAAAGAUGAGCAUGCGUCCCAUUAGCUAGUUGGUAAGGUAACGGCUUACCAAGGCAACGAUGGGUAGGGGUCCUGAGAGGGAGGAUCCCCACCACUGGUACUGAGACACGGACCAGACUCCUACGGGAGGCAGCAGUGAGGAAUAAUUGGACAAUAGGGCGGCAAGACCUGAUCCAGCCAUGCCGCGUGCAGGAUGACGGUCCUAUGGAUUGUAAACU